This 71-nucleotide non-coding RNA is filed under the name bovine gut metagenome. Its description in RNAcentral is "Cyclic di-GMP-I riboswitch". It matches the Rfam family "c-di-GMP-I riboswitch aptamer". From Rfam's summary of the family: GEMM was predicted in a large-scale screen for bacterial structured RNA regulatory elements. Genes associated with GEMM are involved in a diverse array of functions, including chemotaxis regulation, signal transduction, secretion and chitin. The record is from RNAcentral. RNAcentral also lists the same sequence under 1 other name.
CGACAAAAGCAAAACUACAGUAAUGUAGUGACGCAAAGCUAUAGGGUCUUAAAAAGAUAGCCAGUUGCCAA